CCUACGGGAGGCAGCAGUGGGGAAUAUUGGACAAUGGGGGCAACCCUGAUCCAGCCAUGCCGCGUGUGUGAAGAAGGCCCUCGGGUUGUAAAGCACUUUCAGUGAGGAAGAACGCCUGGUGGUUAAUACCCAUCAGGAAAGACAUCACUCACAGAAGAAGCACCGGCUAACUCCGUGCCAGCAGCCGCGGUAAUACGGAGGGUGCGAGCGGUAAUCGGAAUUACUGGGCGUAAAGCGCGCGUAGGUGGCUUGAUAAGCCGGUUGUGAAAGCCCCGGGCUCAACCUGGGAACGGCAUCCGGAACUGUCAAGCUAGAGUGCAGGAGAGGAAGGUAGAAUUCCCGGUGUAGCGGUGAAAUGCGUAGAGAUCGGGAGGAAUACCAGUGGCGAAGGCGGCCUUCUGGACUGACACUGACACUGAGGUGCGAAAGCGUGGGUAGCAAACAGGAUUAGAUACCCUGGUAGUC
This 465-nucleotide ribosomal RNA is filed under the name Vreelandella stevensii. RNAcentral describes it as "partial 16S ribosomal RNA". It matches the Rfam family "Bacterial small subunit ribosomal RNA", at positions 338 to 795 of the family's 1533-position model. The record is from RNAcentral. Lineage: Bacteria; Pseudomonadati; Pseudomonadota; Gammaproteobacteria; Oceanospirillales; Halomonadaceae.